AGAGUUUGAUCCUGGCUCAGAACGAACGCUGGCGGCAUGCCUAACACAUGCAAGUCGAACGAGACCUUCGGGUCUAGUGGCGCACGGGUGAGUAACGCGUGGGAACCUGCCCAGAGGUCUGGGACAACCGCGGGAAACUGCGGCUGAUACCGGAUGAUUCCUGAGGGACAAAGAUUUAUCGCCUUUGGAGGGGCCCGCGUCGGAUUAGGUAGUUGGUGGGGUAACGGCUCACCAAGCCUAUGAUCCGUAACUGGUCUGAGAGGAUGACCAGUCACACUGGGACUGAGACACGGCCCAGACUCCUACGGGAGGCAGCAGUGGGGAGUAUUGGACAAUGGGGGCAACCCUGAUCCAGCAAUGCCGCGUGGGUGAUGAAGGCCUUCGGGUUGUAAAGCCCUUUCGGCGGGGACGAUGAUGACGGUACCCGCAGAAGAAGCCCCGGCUAACUUCGUG
Molecule: ribosomal RNA, 453 nt
Filed under: uncultured bacterium
Lineage: Bacteria
Description: bacterial SSU rRNA
Rfam family: Bacterial small subunit ribosomal RNA
Source: RNAcentral